This 304-nucleotide ribosomal RNA is filed under the name uncultured bacterium. RNAcentral's name for it is "partial 16S ribosomal RNA". It matches the Rfam family "Bacterial small subunit ribosomal RNA", at positions 506 to 807 of the family's 1533-position model. The record is from RNAcentral.
CAGCAGUAGCCGCGGGAAUACGUAGGGUGCGAGCGUUAAUCGGAAUUACUGGGCGUAAAGCGUGCGCAGGCGGUUAUAUAAGACAGAUGUGAAAUCCCCGGGCUCAACCUGGGACCUGCAUUUGUGACUGUAUAGCUAGAGUACGGUAGAGUGGGAUGGAAUUCCGCGUGUAGCAGUGAAAUGCGUAGAUAUGCGGAGGAACACCGAUGGCGAAGGCAAUCCCCUGGACCUGUACUGACACCCAUGCACGAAAGCGUGGGGAGCAAACAGGAUUAGAUACCCCGGUAGUCCCUGUCUCUUAUAC